UUUAUUCAAAAAAAUAUAAAAUAAAUCCAAGAACGACACAGAAAUGGUUAGACAUUCGCUCCUUACAUUUAAAAUGGAGGAGGAACUACGAAGGAAUAUUAUUUAAGGUAUUUUAUUAAUAAUUUAUAAUGUUUAGGAAUGCAUCAACCUUUUUCAUUUAUGUUCAUUUUAAUUUUUUUCAAAUCACCCCCCUUCCCUGCUCAAUAGUCAACUCUUUCUGCAAAGUCUGAUCUGAAUUUUCCAUUGAAGUUUUCAUUUGUAAAGCAACUGGAACAAAGAUUACCUUACCUAAAUUUGCAGAAAUCUGAAGAAUUCUUAUUCUUCUCCUUCUCCUUCUUCAUCAUGCCUUCGGACUUGAAUUCAGAGGAGCAAAGACAUGGAAGAGCUUCACAACUUGAAUGGUCUAAAAGCCUUUACGAGUUAACGAACUAUGCGGUCAAGAGUGUGCUUCAUUUGAAGAAAAUGGUUGAUCCAGAUGAGACAUUGAAGUACUGGGCUUAUUUUGCAGUGUGUGUGACUUCAAUCUCAUUUGAUUUUUUGGUUUUCUACAUUCCUGUGAUCGAUGACGAUGGAAAGUGCCUUGAACUGGAUACACAAUUGGGAGCUAAGGCUAUUCUCUUGCGUUCGUUCUUCGAUGUUUUUCUCACGGUCAUUUUUUUUCUGGAACGGUUUUCUGAUUCCUAUGAUCCUACUCCUGCGAGAUAUGGACGAGAAAAGCCAUCUCAUAUUACAUCGAAUUUUUUCGGGUAUCUCUCCUUAUUUGACCUUCUACUUGUCCUUCCCCUCCCUCAGCUGCUGAUAUGGAAUAUCACUUCAAAUAUGAUGAGGUUGAAAUUUUGGGAUGCAAUGAAGUUGCUGAAAUUUUGUGUGUUUUUACAAGAUGUUCCAAGGGUUAUUAGAAUCUAUCCAUUGUUUACGAAAGCUAUCAGGACUUCAGAAAAUCAUGCAGAAGCGACAUGGGUCAAAGCUGCAUUUACUUUUCUUCUUUACAUGCUUGCUGCUUAUGCAUUUGGAGCCAUAUGGUAUUUAACGGCCAUAGAAAAAGAAACUGAAUGCUGGGAGAAAGCCUACACAAAUCAAACUGGAUGUAGCCAGCUGGGUUCUUUGUACUGUGGUAGCAGUUCAAGAAACUACACAUUUCUAGACGGAUUUUGCCCAACAAAGACACGAAAUACAGCCGUCUAUGACUUUGGAAUGUUCCAUGAUGCUCUCCAGUCUGGCAUUGUGGAGGUGACAAAUUUUCCCCAAAAGUUUUUACAUUGUUUCCUAUGGGGCCUGCAAAACCUCAGGUUUGUGCAUAUAUGAUUUAUACAUUUCAUGGUGGUGGGAGCUCCAGUCGAGACGUGGUCAAUUUAUGAGGCCCUCUUCUCUGCCAUACUGACCUGCUUUUCAGUUCUUUUUUUAUCUCUGUUUUUCAUUUAGUUUGUGAGCCCUAUAAGUUUAACAAUUUAUUAUUACUAAAUAACCCAAAAAAAUAUGAAGCCUUGAUCCAAUCAUUUGGCAUUGAAAAUUAUAAAAUUUUGUUUUUAAGCAUGGUAUCAAUAAACAGAAAUUGUAAGUCUGAUUGUUGUUUAUUGAUACCUGUUGUUUAUACUUACCUUGACUAUGUUACCAUUGUAGAUGGCACAACUAAGUUUCGGCUUAUCUGAUCGAAUUCUGUUGUUUUGGUCAGAACAUGCAUACAAGUAGCAAUGUGUGGGAAAACUUAUUUGCGAUUUUGAUUACCAUCAGUGGGUCAAUGUUGCUUCUUU
Molecule: RNA transcript, 1751 nt
Organism: Pistacia vera
Lineage: Eukaryota; Viridiplantae; Streptophyta; Magnoliopsida; Sapindales; Anacardiaceae
Gene name: cyclic nucleotide-gated ion channel 1-like
Exons: 5
Source: RefSeq, a predicted model, not a curated record